Marasmius tenuissimus is the source of this 100-nucleotide non-coding RNA. The record is from the annotation of a GenBank genome assembly. NCBI's taxonomy places the organism in Eukaryota, Fungi, Basidiomycota, Agaricomycetes, Agaricales, Marasmiaceae.
GGACGAGUAGCUCAGUGGUAGAGCAUCUCACCAUUGUCCGGUAGGCCCUUGAGCCCAACAUGCAAUCGAGGCGUCCUCAGUUCGAUCCUGAGCUUGUCCA